CGGAGUGUACGCUAGCUCAAGGUUUGGUUGGCGUCCCGAUGUACCUCUAGGGUUCGUCUCGGUCCAGCGAUCCGUGGAACGGGCAGAGCAGGAGCAGGGCGGAAUUACCGUACCUGAGCUUGUCGUCAAGGUCCUCGAGGCAAUCCAAGCCUGUCUGUAAUCUCCAUUAGACAAUGCAUUUUUAUCUUGAAACUAUGGUGAUUGCAAUCAUAGCUUGGUCAAAACCAACUGUUAAAAUGAAACAAUACAUGCUGAGUUGAUAGAAAAAAACCCUAUAAUAAACAAAUCCUACUGAUAAAAAAUGAUGCAUUCAUGGCGGUGGUGGCAACAAUGCGUCUAUAGAUGCACACAACAAAUAUUUUGUUUGCAAUUUUACUGUUAUUCUGUUUUUCGGUUGGACCUAGAAUGUGAUGGCACAAGAGGGAAUUGGGAAUUGGGAAGUCAUAUUAACUAGAUAUGACAAUAUACUACAACCACCCCCAUAUACUUUGUCUGGAUAUUAUAGUCAUAAAAUGAUUCGCUUCACCUAGCCAAUUGGUCUAUCUAAAUAUCAAGCCACUCCUUUGAUCUCUCAUCUCUCUCAUUGCUUACCGAUCCAACCACUCAAAUUCGAAGAUACGUUUUGGGAGAGGUUUGACUAUGAGGAAUCUUUUAAAUCACAAGUGCAAGGAAUUCACUACCAAGCAACCUCAUCUAGAUUGGCUAGGUGUGGUUGUCAGCCUUCAACGUGUGACGGAACCAAGGAGUUUGUAUGGACUUGGAGAUCGCACAUGUCAUGAAGAUCUAACUCAGGGGAGGCAACCGAGAGCAAUACAGUACACACUUAAUUACCUCCCAGCGGUCGGUCCCCCUUCCAGCGCGCGGCUCGCGCUAGCGCAGGACCGCCGCUGCCGCCGGCUGAUCUCCCUCCUCCGUCCACCUCCGGCCCAGCCAAUUGCAGAUCCGGAACCCCGCCAGCGUCCUCUCUCCAUCCAUCCCGAAGCCCGGCGCCGUCUUCACCGGCUCUCUCCUCGCGGCGGAUUUCGAGUCGGGGUCUCCCCUCUUCCUGCCCCGCUCCCGUGCGGCCGCGCCGGGCCGCACCGGGGCGCCCCUGCGGGCUCGAGCCGGUCCCUCCACGCCUCUCUCUCCGCUCGCCGCCGCCGGAGGCGUCGUCGGG
Molecule: long non-coding RNA, 1156 nt
Filed under: Hordeum vulgare
Lineage: Eukaryota; Viridiplantae; Streptophyta; Magnoliopsida; Poales; Poaceae
Description: long non-coding RNA (HVUL_LNC014473)
Source: RNAcentral